GAAUACCUUAUAUCCUCAUUGGGGGUUAGUUCACAUCUCUCUCUUCCCUUGUUUACUUGAUGUGGUCCUUUUUGUAUUUUAUAUACAUUUAGGUUACUUUUGGUUGAGCUUAAUGUGAUAAUUCCCACAUAUCGGCCGGCGGCUGUGGAGUGUGCCAUUCCUGUUUCUGUCUCUGACCCAGGUGUGCCUGUGUUUUGCCUCAACGGAGAAAAAAUUUGUAAUGUAAUUCCUAUAUUUGUAUUGGUAGUGGAAUGGUAAUGGUGGCGGCUGAGGUAAUAGUAGUGGUAGUGGCCUGGUGGUGAUGGAGUGGGCAGAGGAUAAGCGGUGAUAGCGGUGAUUAGGUCAAGUGGUGGUGGUGAUAGGAUUGAGAUAUUAGCUGGGUAAUGGUGGUG
RNAcentral lists this unclassified non-coding RNA (392 nucleotides) under Hevea brasiliensis (rubber tree). The record is from RNAcentral. Lineage: Eukaryota; Viridiplantae; Streptophyta; Magnoliopsida; Malpighiales; Euphorbiaceae.